RNAcentral lists this long non-coding RNA (9862 nucleotides) under Gallus gallus (chicken). Lineage: Eukaryota; Metazoa; Chordata; Aves; Galliformes; Phasianidae. The record is from RNAcentral.
GGCGGCGGAGGCGGGCAGAGCGGAGGCCGCCGUGGGGCCCGGGGUUCGCUUAUCCUCAGGGGCGGGCGACGCGGGGGGAGGCGGCCGGGCCGGUCCCUACCUGCUACCGGAACGCGCUGGCUCCUACCGGGGAGAGCCUCUUCCUUCCGCGGCAACCUGGAGGCCGAGUCGCCCAUCCUGAAGGUGGAGCUGCAGAGCCGGAGGAGGCGCCGCGGCGCCGUUAGCAUCGCCCUCUGAGGGCGGGGAAGGGAGGCGAAGGGUGAGCGGCGCGCGGCGGCCGUUGGGACCGGCGGGCGGCGGGGUGGGGGCGGGCGUGAGGCGGCGAGGUGCGAGGCCCGCCCCCUGGCGAGCGGCCCUCGUGUGCUGCGUGCCCUGCGCUGCGCCCUGCGCGUCCCUCGGGGCCUGUGAGCCCUGAGGACCCUUCGCUGUGGGUGUAUCUGCAGUGCUUCGCCGCGCUUCCACCCUCAACCAGGCCUCCCCUCAGCUCUGCCUGCGGAAUUUUGUCUCUCGGAGCUCUGAGCAGCUGUGUGGUGUGCUUUUUGCUCCUUCGCACACUCAUGCACGGUUGUUUCUUUUCGUCAUAGAACCAUAGGAUGGUUUGAGUUGGAAGGAACCCUUAAAGGCCAUCUGUCCUGCUCCCUGCACUGAACAGGGACACCCACAGCUCCAUCAGUGCUCACAGCCCCGUCCAGCCUGACCUUGGCUGUCUGCAGGGAUGGGGCACCACCUCCUCUCCGGGCAACCUGUGCCAGUGCCUCACCACCCUUAUUGUAAAAAAUGUCUUCCUUAAAUCCAGUUUAGAUCUCCCUUUUUUUCAGUUUGGAACCAUUUCCCCUUGUCCUAUCACACCAGACCCUACUUGGAAUCUGUCCCUUUCUUUCUUACAGCCCCCAUUGCCCUGCUGGCCACACUGCUUCCAAUGCAGCCCAGGAUACAAUUGGCUUUCUGGGUUUCGUGCCCAGCUUGCCAUCCACCAGUACACCUUAGAGGGAUUUUUAGCUGCAUGACCUUCUCAGGGGGUAUGUACCCAGCACAUCGGCCCUCUGGCUUUCUGUCUAAGCCCCGACUUGGGUAUGAGAAGGUUGAGAGGGGCAUACACAUUUAGCAAGAUGUGCUACACAUGUUCUUUGUACAGUAAUAUGCUUUAUAAUGCUUUUUUUUUUUUUCCCCUAGACUCUGCUCAUCUUUGCAGCAGUCCACUAUGUCAUGUUUAGUCAACACACUGCAUCAUGAUGAUUGGACAAUUUAUUUUUAUUGUCUUUUCCAAUCUGUAUGAUUCUACGCCAGUCUUGCAUGAUUUCUUGUUGGCUUUUUUAUGUGUAUAUAGAAUACGUGCUAAAUAACAAAUCUUCCAAUACCAGUGUCUAUGUGUAUGUUUGCAAUAAAAACACAGGAACAAGAAGUGAAUGGAGUAUCAAGACUUGCAGAAAAUACCCAUCAUCUUUCAGAGAGUAAUACACGUAAUGUGUAUUUUAUAUACAGCAACAAGCACUACAUUUCCUAAGGUGGAAGACACAGAAGCUGGAACACUGCUGUUUUGUUUUUCAGAGAACUGUUUGUGAAGUCGUGGGCAGGAGAAGGGAAGUUUGUUCCAAAACUGCUGACUGCAAAGAAAGUUUGAGAACUAGGCAGAUGCCUUGCACUGUGAAUUUCAGAAUAAGGGAAAAGAUAAUGCACAAAUGUGAAGCAAAGACAUUAUGGGAAGGAAAUGAGAGUAAUUCAAUGCAAAAUUCAUAUGGAGGGUUGUAAAGAAGUUGGAUGCUUGCCUGAAUAGAAAAGAAUAUGAUAAAAUGACAAUCUAGUCUGACAGAGGGAGGCCAGAUAGUUCUCUCAAAAAUGUAUUGUGCCAAAAGAACGAAGUGCCAUUCACCUCCCAGUCAAACAGGAUUUUACAGGAAUGUGAUGCUCUUGUGACACAGCGUUUAUUCAGCUUUAUAGAGAUGUUGGAUGUGGAUGCUUACAGUGUCGCUGAGAAUUCCUAGAUGCUCCCAAAAGAAUCUGAAGAAGCAGGAAAUCCAUGGUGUAAGAGCCAGGCUUCUCAUAAAAUUCACAUCUCAGAUGGGGACCUGAGAAAUGAGCUGUCCCAUGUCUGUCUUCAGAUUCACUGUUCUUCCCAGAAUAACAGAAUUGUAGGGGUUGGAAGGGAGUUCUGGAGAUCAUCUAGUCCAACCUAAGGCAGGUUGUCUCGAGUUCCUGUACAUGAAACAGCGUUCUCUUUGAAGCACAAGUAGUCCCGUGCUUGCAGUCCAUUUGGAGUUUUAUAUAUAUUUCUAUUGAGAAAUAGGACCAGAGAGGAGCUCAGGUGAUAUCUUAAAAAUCUGCAAUAACUUAAAGGAAAUCCAUUAGAGAAGUAAACAUAGAGAUGCAUAUGAUGGAUAACUGUGAUAUUUCAACAGCAUACACUUCAAAGAAUUGGAAAUGUUCAGUGAAAAACCGUGAAUUCCAUCUAAAACAUAUUCUCUUAUAUAGCAUCAACAAUACUGAUGAUUCCCAACUCUUAUAAGCCACUAAAAAUGAUGACAUCCACUGGACUGGUAGCAAAUAAUUCUCUUCCUCCUUGUUUGUCUCCAUUUUUUUCCAUUUCUCCUUGUAUUUCUAUACUCACUUCACUCUCUGCCAAGGACAUGCAUCUAAAAAAAAUUCAAUGAUUAAUGUUACGAUGGACAGCAGUGCAGUUUUUACUGUAAGAGUUAAUGUGUCUGUCGAUGAAACUGUGAAUGCCCAACCUGAAUCUUUUACUGUGAGCACUCCUGCUGCCUCGUUGUGAGUGGUUCCAUUUUCAUUGCCAUCUUCCUUGCAUGAAUCGAGGUCAAUCAGAGGUGAAAGACAGAAAAACAGACUUCUGUUUGGGCAAUUCAGUCUGCAGAUGAAGUGGCUGAGACCUUUCAGGGCCCUUAUGCGCUCUGAAAAGCCAGCAUCCCCUCUGCUCAGUGUUCCCAGUGGUCUUCUAUGCUGAAUAUGCUGCCCGAAUGUAUUUAGAUUAUGUCUCUUAAAUCAGAGGUGUUCUUUGUUACAGGGAAAAACUGCUUUGUCACCCAUUGCAUUCAGCUGCUUCAUUUGUGAAGCUGACAGCAGCAGAGCAGGGCGCUAAAGGAUUGACAUUGGGACUCCAAAACAGUGGUUAGAGCAGUGACAGAUAGCGGGGCUGCUGAAGCAUUUCGAUUACAGCUAUUAAGGGCAGGAAACAGUCUUUCAUUCUGUGUUUGUAUGGCACUUCACACACUGUGUUCCUGCUUCAGAGCUGGAUCCUAAGUAUUAAAUAGUAAUAAGCCGUGAUGCCACUUAACAAAUAAAAACUGCUGGUUCAGAGGAGUGUUUAGUGCUUCUUCACUCCGUGGAAACAGAAUACUUUUUUAAUUCAUUAAAUCUCCUUUGUAUUUCAGGAAAGUGUGAACUAUCCCCUCUUCCCAUUCUAGAGGCUGAGAAGGAAGAGCCUAAAAUUUACACCAUAGGUUUUUAAAGUUUUCAUACCAAGAAUUUGCCUGUCCAAGAAAGCAGCAGAACCCAAUUAUCUUUGUACUGAUAAUACAUUGUGCUUCAUGUUGAAACGUGGACUUCAUAUCUGCCAACACAUUGAAUUGAAUUAAGAAGUGUAUCAGAAAAAAAAUCACAUUAAAGUGCCUGCCUGUUGCUUGGAUUCCCAUGUAAUAAUACAGUAUUCCUAGUAUAACCAUUUUACAGUGCUGAAGACCUUCAGGAAAUCAGUGUGAAGAAAGAGAAAGGUGCAAAGGAGAAAACAGGAAGAAAAGGGAUGUGAACUUAUCUGUGUCCUUCCAGGCAGGGCUAUACACAGAUUCCCAAUCAUUCCAUUUUUUGGGAUCGUGAUCAAAAUGCAUUUGACAUUUACUGUAUAUAGUCCUUGCCUUUAGAGCAGAAUUUGCUCGCCUUUUUGGAUAAUUGUUUUUUCCACUGUAGCAAAAUUUGCUGUGUUUUGCAACCAGUAAAGCCCCUGUGACUACCAUCCCCCCACCCCCCCACGUGACUAUCUCAUGGUAAUAACACUGAUUGUAAAGCCAGGUUUCUGUUGCAGUGUGCAUCUUCUGGAAGAGCACUGUUUCGGUUUUUGUUUUUUGAUUUUCAAACAUGUAGCAAUAGAGGAUCCUUCGUGGGCUUUGGUGGAUUAUUCAGUGCUUAAUUGCUGUUAGAAACACGCACUUUAUUGUUAGUUCAGCUUCCUUUGAAUCAUAGCUUAUCUUUCCUUGCAUUUCUUGUUUUCUAAUUCUGCAAGUAUUGUCAUUGCCCUUCUUUGAACCCUCUCCAGGUUUUUAGUUGACGUAUUUCCUUACUUAAUUAUUUAUUUCAUUGCCCAGUCUGAUGAAGGUAUGAAUAAUUAGUGCAGCAUUCUGGUACUGGUCACAACAAAGCAAGUACAGAUCUAGUAUGGUUUCCUGGUUCCUGCUUGGUUUCGUGUUCAUAUGUCCAAGGCAGUCAGUAUUAGCCUUGCAGCCCUGGAGGUAUGCUACUGACAUUCCCAAGGGCUCUUCAGGAAUUUAUUACCAAUGUAUAGAAAUACAUACAUUAUGGCAGAUAUGCAGGAAACUAUGUUCUAUGUCUUUCCUUGGCCUCCUUUAAAUUAUUAGGAUAGUCUUGUACCAAUUUCUAAUCAUCUUUGUUACUACCACAUCCACAGUUUUUGGGUCAGCUGCUAGCAGUUGGAAAUUACUGUCUAUAUUCCUCUCUAUCAUUGUUAGGAAUGUCCAAUAAUGGAGCUCAGAACUGAUGCCUACAUGACAUCACUGUAAACAUGCCAACCCUGUGAAGAUUGCCUCGUUGCAGUCACAGUUUGUGACCAGUUAGGUAAUGAGAUCUCUGAAAAUGAACAUAUUUUCAUCAGGACAAACCUGCUGCUUCCCCACUUCUAGCAAAAAGACAUGAACUGGUGCUCGGGAGGUUUUUCAAUCAAGGGAAGUAGAGAUUUUAAGUACCACAAUUCUUUUAGGAAGCAACAAACCUGAAUUCCUGUAUCAGCAGCUGUAUCUGUUACCCAGAAGGACAGUGAAGAUCAUAAUACAGUAAAGCAAUCUACAUGAAACAGUUUCUAGAGAGAGGAGGGAAGAUUAAUCAGUCAUUCACGUGCUUUCCAUUUGUGAUCUAGAUGAGAAUUUGGAUACAGAUUCAGCUACAUAAAUUACACUAAAAAUGGAACUGACGUAGAAGAGCCAUCAGCACUGUACCUCAGAGUAGUGCAGUGAUUUGGGGUUUACAGAAGAAUAUAAAAAACAAGGGACAAUUUAAUGGAGUACCGUGCAUGCCAGGGAGAAGGCAAAAAUGCAGGAUACCAGCAGUGUGCUUACACAGGUUGUUCUUUGUUUUUCCAUUUCAACAUAGCAAUUAUGUAAAAAAAGCUAAUGAAACAGAUAUGCUAUCUGCCAGUUUUCCUUCCUAUCAGCCUGCAUAUGCCUUGGUUCUCUCUUUCAGUGAAGGUUCAGGAUGUAUCUUUAUAGCUGAUCCCAAUAUGUUCAAACAAGCCAGGGUGAUGCAGAUGAGCAUUUUUUGGAUCUGUCCAUCAAUGUUUCUACGUGAAUCAGGCUUAGAGCUCUCCCAGUAACCAGGAGUUAGCAGUUGGCCAGUUUACAGAUGUCUUCUUCAGUGGUGUGGCUUAUCUCAGCUCUAUAAAUCUGGGCUUAAAAGCAGUUACCAGCAGCUGAGGCUCAGCUCUGGGGUUUUUUAAUCACAAUUUCCAGCUGUGGUACAGAGUACUCUGUAGGUCAAUUCCGGUUUCUACUCUGAGAAGACCAAUUACUCAGUACGUUCAGUGGCCUGUGCUGCACAGAUCAGUUUAGAUUUCAAUAUGGAUUUCACCAGAAAGUGUCAUGAUACGGCCCUUCCCUUGGUAAAAUUAUAUUGUUGAUAGAUUUUUCAAUGAAUAUCCUCUGCAUCUUUCACUUAGGAAUUUCUGUGUUUCUGUCCCCUUCAAUGCUAGUUAUGCAGGAUGGUCUUCAUGGAUAGAAAUGAAGUGGUGCAUGUGAGAACAGAAGAAAAAACAGCUUUGGGUAGGACUGAUAUCACCCAACCUUAGCUCUGGCAUCUCAUCCAAACUGAGCUUCUGAGUAUCAUCCAUACCAAAGAAAGGAAGUUUUUUAGGUGGAAAAUGCAGCCAAUGGAAGGUUGGAGCUGAUGCAUCGGUAUCACGUUCACAAGAUGCGGUCCCUCGAUAAAGGCUCAGAGACCUCUGCAACAUCAACACGGGCUGAGGAUGUUCUCUAAAUGCUUUGCACUGUGUCUCGUAGAUUCCUUGGCUUUGUCAGCUGGUGCUAGUUUGUAUGCAGUGGCACUGAUGACUUUAUAAAAACAAAUGACAGAGUUGUUUACACGGCCUUGCUAAAGGAAAUAAUCACAUUUAAUAGUGCUGGUUUCCCAUACAGGCCUUUAAAAAGGGGCUCUCCUGCUAUAUGCUGUAAUAAGCUUUUUAUAAAUGCGUUCCUGUGGUGCUCAGUACAGCCUGCUGUGCUGAUACUAUAAAACCAAAGGGGAGCUUCAUAAGCUUUAAGUGCAAUCAUAUAUUACUGUGCAGCAGCAUUCCCUUUUAUUAAUAAAGUUUGUAAGAAAUACCCAGGCAAAGAUUAAAAAUACAUGUAUGACACUAUCCACGGUAAUAAAAGCUGAUGUUGUCUGGACUGCUUGUUUAUUUGCUAAUGCCGUAUGAGAUGUUUUAAGGAGCACGGUGAAUAUGAUUGAACAGAUGAGCUCUUCCCUCGGGCCCUUCCUCGCCUGCCCAGCACCUUCCCGGGGAUGCUGAUGCUUCCCAGAGCUGCUGGCUGCUUCCUGAGCCCUCUGCUGGGCUCCUGCCUCCACUGCAGCAGGUCAGGGACGUGAGCUGCUUUCUCAUUGACUUGCAUAGGCAAAGCAUGUGAAGAUUAAAGCGGUGCUUCAUUAAAGGUGAUGAGAAGUUUUCACUGUUUUGGCCACAGGUAUCUUAUUUUGCUCUACCAUUCAGGAAUAACAGUGAUUAUUGAAUUGCAACACGGAAAGCUCUUCUGGGAAUAGAUGCACAGCACAGCCUGUCAUUGCUCAGCAAACUGAGCUCAGGUGCUGAGAAGGAGAGAGGUCCUAUGUUUGAGAUUGGAGAAAUCAUAUUGCAAUGGUUUAAGACACACCUUAAAUGCAACCAAAAUAUCAGGACGUUUUCUGAGGCCAGCAGGACUCUUGAAAGAGAAAUCAAGUGCUACAUAAUGUUAUAUUUUGAGGGAAAGAAGUUAACAGCAUAUGUAAAGUAGAUCAGACCACCUACUAAACUACUAUAUACCAAGUACUGACUUUAGAUUCCAUUUGUUACUAUGCUAUGCAGCAUAUUGCUUUGCAGCACAUACAGGAAGGCCCAGGUCCAGAUCUCCAAACAUACUGAGGCAUUGAAAUUCUGUAGGUUCUCUACAUAUUUCAGUCCUAGGGCAAUCAGUGUGUCUUGGACACCUCUCCUGCCCCCAGGGGCUUAUAUUCCAAAUGAGACAGAGUAUCUCAAACCCAUAAUGAGCCCUGUGCAGGAGCUGAUUUUCAGAUGGAGUUUUACAUGGUGAUGGGAUAGAAUUACUAGACUAAUUUAGAAAUAGUAGUGUGAAGAGGAUUAAAGUACAGUUCAUUCACAGAAGAGUGUGUUUCGACAAUUGUGUGGCAUAAGGCAUCAGAAUGAGUGCAAAGCAUUGCAAGUGAGACAGAAGAGUAGUCUAUUAUGAGCCUAGACUAUGGAGAGGAGCAAAACAAGGUGAUAAAUGGAACUUAGAUAUCAGCAAAACUGAAUGUAACUCUGUAGGUGGUCAAUAGCAAUAUUUCUUAUGGAAAAAACUGGACAGUGCAUAAGAUAGGACCGAUGUACAUGGAUUAAACUGAGGUUAUGACUCCCAGCAGCAAUGUUCUCGGACGAUGAAGGGUCCUGCAGCUGGAGUCAUUAAAAAUGCAACAUUUGUCAUAUCGCUGUAAUUGCAGUCCCUUGGUAUCUUCUAUUCCGAGUGUGAGAGGUUAUAAAUAUUGUUGAUGGCUCAACAUUUGCUUUAGAUUUCUUUACAAGGCAUCUUUGCACCACUUAUUCAUGUUAUUUUUGUCAAUGCAACCCUUCAGCUACGUGGUGUAGAUUUACAAUGAAAUCUGCAAUUUGCUUUUGUUUCAGUUCAUGCAAGUUUGGACCCUUCUUUUUUAAAGUGGAUUUUAAAGAUCGCUUUCCCUUCCCACUAGAAGAUGCAAAACAAGAAGCUGAUGGUACGGUUUUAACCUGUCUUUGGGAGGGUGUGUUCCUUCAAGUAUUUUCCAGGAUAGCUGGAGGAAUGCAAAAAAACCCUCAUUUGGGGAUGAGCAGUUCUGGCACAAAUACCAAGAGACGACACUUCCAUCCUUAAAAUAAGCCCCCCGACAUAAGUGAUAAUUUAAUAUACAUCAUGCCAUCUGCUUUCAGAAAUGUGCAAGCUGCUCCUAGAGAAGUUAACGGGAAAUGCAUUUUUCCUAUUAUUUUCAACAUCCCAAGAUGUAACUUGAUGUCACAAAAGCAUGCAUCUAGUCAUCUUUCCCCAAAGUAAAGUAUAGCUUGCCACUGGAUAGAAUGAUAACUGGUGCAAAACCCACUGCUUCUCCCCCCUCUGCCCUUCACAACCUGCCAGAAUUAAAUACAGACGUUGCAGAGUGCUCUGCUGGUUAGAAAGGCAGAUGGGGAAGAGAGGAGCUUUCAGAACCGUGAGGCUCAGAGGCUCUGGCAGCAGCUUUUCUCUUUCUCUGCCAACAGCUUCCACCUUGAGCACUUUUACUUCACCUAUAGAAACAUGUCACCAGGCAAGAGACGUGCCAACACAUGGAAGCAGCAUUCAAGGCCAGAGGAAGGACUGAGCUCACAGUUUCCCCUAUAUGGCACCCCAAAGAAAAUGCUAGGCUAGGCCAAGCCGUGCAUAGGUGUAGCCUUAGCAGGCAAACCCAGUCUGCUGAGUGAUCUUUUCUGAAUAAGCCCACUAGAAAAUGAUGGAAGAAUUUUUCUGUUUUUUGGGGGUUUUUUUGUUGUUGUUUUUCCUAUAUGUUCUACAAGAUGUGAGGGCACCAUAGAAUCACAGUGUAGCUUGGGUUGGAAGGGGCUUAUAGAUCAUCUAGUUCCAAUCCCCUGCCACAAGAACGGUUGCCACCUGCAUGGCCAUGACCUACAGAGGUGCAAUGCAACGCUGGAGUGAUGAGUCGAUUUGUUAUGGAGGGAUCUUUGGAGGUCUCUGCUCAAAUCCUAUGCUCAAAAGAGGGCCAGAUUAGCCCAGGUUGCUCACAGCCUUUGCUCAUCUGGGCUUUGGAUAUCUCCAUGGAUGGCAAUUCCUUUGCCUGUUCAGUGUUUGAUUACUUUAUAGUGGGGAUUCUUUUUCCAUGUGUCUAACCAGAACCUCCCUUGCAGCUGCCUGUGUGCACUUGAACCUUGUCCUUCUCUCUGCACCUACAAAAAGGCUUUGGCUCAAUCUUCUGAACGUUUCCAUUCGGACAGUUGAAGGUGGCAACAAAAUCCACUCAGCCUUGUCUUCUUAAGAUUGAGCAAUCUCAAUUCCUUCAACCUUUCCUCAUACUUCAUGUAAUACAUUUCUUUAGGGAUACUGAGGGCACCGUGGACUCACUCCAGUUUGUCAACAUGAUUUUUGUGGUGGGGAGACCAAAAACUGGAUGCAUUUUGUGGGGAGACCAAAAACUGGAUACAAAUGUGAAACAAUGGGUUUUCUUUUAUUAUUUUUUCACUUCCUAACAGCUCCUAACAUUCUCUUCUCUGUCUGCCUCAGCUCUAAGAUCACAUCUCCGCUGACAGCACCUCACUCAGCACCAGCACUUGUCAGAGUUUCAGAGCUGCUUUUCCCUGUGUGCUUUAAUUUGCCAUGACAGCACUGAACCUCAGCUGCCAUUUUAUCACCCACCCUCUCGG